UCCAGCUGAUUCAACAUAUGAUCAUUACCCCAUCUAUGAUAUAUACAAAGUAUGCAUGGAAGAGAUCAAUUAAGAUACGUACUUGGAGUCCCUAAGCCAUCAGGGGUGCCAUAAUAUGUUGCCCGUGAGUAUGUGAAGGCGUCUUCACACUUGCAUAGCACAGGCAAGAGCACAAUGACACAUAGAAAGCAGCAAUAGUGGCUAAGUGGAAAACCCAUGUUUAUACGGAAUUACUCAAGCAAAAUAUUGGAAGUGAGCUAGCCAAAAGAAGUAGAGGAAGUGAGGUCGAGAUGGGUAAGCCUAGAAUCAAAGUUCCAUAUUUAUAGUUGAGGUUUAGAGGGCAAGAGAGUCUAUUUUUUUCCUUCCACUAUGGACUAGGGAGGCCUAGGAUUAGAUUAUAGAUAUGUACAGAUGGGACACCCGUUUCGACCCCCCUAAGACCAUAGUUUUACAUUUUCUUGGUAUGUAAGAAAUUCAUAAAGAGAAAUCAGACUUGUAGUCAAACUCUUUUCUUCUCCUCUGAUUGACUGUUUGGUUCAGCUCAUUGGAGUAGGGAGUAGCGUGGGAAAUAUUCUAAGAUUUGGCCAUUGUGCUUGUGUAACUAAAUUAAUUAAACAUCUAUCUCACAUGGAAUAUUUAGCACUGGUGAGGAGAGCUCAGAAACAUGAAGGGAAACUAAGAAAAUUAUCAAAGCAUGGAAUAAACAAGUCAAAAACCAUUUAUUGACAAACGUAGAUGCAUUGUUUAACCAUGUAUCUUGACAUUUGCAGUACUCUCAAUGAUGUGUUGGUGCGUGAAUGAAGAGUAAAAUUGAAAGAAUUGAAAAGUCUCCUAUUUUGGAUUAGCUUCUAAUUUCACAAAUACGUGUAUACAUAUAUACCUAUAAGUUAGGCGGAAUGAUAUUUAGGGAUGGAGGUUUUACUUCCUUUCAUUUACUUGCUCUUUCCGGACAUACAUAUAUAUUAUGUUUGGCUCUUAAAAAUUAUUGACGAAAUUAAAAUAUAUGUUUUUUUAUAUUUGAUUUAUUAUAUAUAUAUAUAUAUAUAUAUAUAUAUAUAUAUAUAUAUAUAUAUUUGAAUUGGGAAAAUGAGUGAUGGGCAGAGUCCGUGGGCUGGCUGCAGCCAAGUGGAUAAGGCUACCAGGGAGGCAUGGUUGGUUAGAGCGCACUGAAGAAGCUGUCAAAACAAGUGAGCUGGGACUUACAGACUAGUGGUAAAUUAGGGGCAAAGGCACUCAUCCUUGAUUUUUUGGUUUAUACUUUAUACUUAAUAGGUAGCGUGUUAUGUACUUUUGACGUGUGCAAUGUGGGCUUAUGCUGAAAGCGAUGUCCAGUACCCAAGACAAGGGGCUGGGGCUGCAUAAUACCCAAAUUUGAGUCCCACUUGGGGUAGGUGGCUCUUCAUCCUGGCUCUCCAUUUGGUCACCACAUUCCAUUACUAAUCACAAAAAUAACAAGUGUUGUUGGUGUUUUAAGAAUAGCUAAGGAAAGAAGACACAAUAGAAAAUAGAGAAAAUAUAUCAGUGGAAGUCACUUUUUUAUUUCCUCCAUCCAGCGUACAUUUAUAGAACUGGGAAAUAACUGAAAAGAGAAAAAAAUAUCAAAUUCAAAACAGAUAGUACGUGAUCCACAAUUUAUGAAAGUGGACUCACAUCUCCUAAAGAAUAUGAACUAACAAUGAUUCAGUUUUAUUCAAACUUUGAAAAAUUAAAACAUAACAUGGCAGUCCAAAAAGCUAACUUCUAACACUCCUCCUUGCUUUAGGAACUGCAAACUCCAAGCUUUUGUCUGUGAAACUCAAACUUAGUGACUGACAAGGGUUUGUGAAUAUGUCAGCCAGUUGCUCUUCCGUUUUGCAGUAGCGAAGAUUAAUAUCUCCAUCUUUCUGCACACCUCUCAAAAAGAAGAGUUUGAUAUUGAAAUGCUUGGUUUUCCCAUGAAACACAGGAUUGUGAGAAAUUGCUAUUAUAGCUUGGUUGUCCACGAACACUUCAGUACCUUGUGUUUGCUUCAUAUGCAAAUCAACCAAUUUUUUUCUCAACCACAAUGCUUGAUUUACUGUCACGGUUGCUGCUACAAAUUCCGCUUCUGCAGUAGAUUGAGCCACAAUAUCCUGUUUUUUUUUAACACCAUGAGAAACUUCCUGAGCCAAGACUGAAACAAUACCCUGAAGUACUCUUCAUAUCAUCUAAGGAACCACCCCAAUCACUGUCAGAAUACCCGAACAACUUCAUAUUUGGAAUCUUUUGAAACUUAACUCCAUAGUCGACAGUUCCUUUGAUGUACCGCACAACUCUUUUUACUGCCUUUAGAUGCACCUCACUAGCAUAAUGCGUAAUCCUUGAUAGAACACUUACAACAUACAAUAUAUCAGGCCUUGUUGCUGUAAGAUACAUCAAACAACCAAUGAGACUUCUGAAGUAUGUCUCCUCCACCUUUUCAGCUCCAUCAUCUUUGCUUAGCUUUUCUUUUUGGUUCAUGGGAGUAUUCAUUUCUUUGCAAUCUUCCAUUUUGAACUUCUUGAGAAUCUCCUUUGUGUAUUUUAUCUGGCAAAUAAAAACUUGAUCCUUUCCUUGCUUGAUCUCCAUUCCAAGGAAGUAUGUCAUUAGACCAAGAUCUGUCAUUUCAAAAACUUGCAUCAUAUCCAGCUUGAACUCAUCAAUAAGCUUUGCACUACUUCCUGUAAUCAAAAGAUCAUCCACAUAAAGAGAAACAAAAAGAAUUUCAUUGUUAUUUUUGAUUACUACUCAAAAAGUGCUAUUUGAUAGCCUAUAAUUAAUCCUUUUAAACACUUUUGAGUAGUAGUUUAGGCCUUUUAACUCAAUUGGCAUGUUAAGGAUCCUUUAAAGCAAUUUUGAUCACUUUGUGUAAGUUUUGGUGUUUUUGUUAGUAUUUUGAUCACCAAAGCAAGUCAAGAAUGAGGAGAGCUAUGAGGAAUCUUGGGCAAAGCUUAGAAUUCAUUUGCCAAGAGUGAAUUCGGAUUGCAAGGAGAAAAAGCAAAGAGAAUCUGCCAUAAAGCAUAUUCUUGAUGACAGUCGUAGCAGCCACUUUUGGAGCACUUUCUGAAGUCCAAAUGAUGCAUGCUAUAUACCAUUUCAAAGCUCAGGAAGUCAACAAUCCAAUGCUUUAAACGGUGCACGAUUCGGAGUUGAAAAGAAGAAGUUGCAGCCAUUACAAGUCAAUCACUCUAAAGUGUUGCGGAAUCAGCCUUUUGUUGAGAGAAUUUCGCAGCACUUUUGUACAGUAAGGUGUUUCUCCUUCUGACGAUUCACGAACCAUGCCGCGAGAAGGGAGCUGGGAACCUCAAGGUGGAAGCCAACUUCGCAGCCCUGUGAAGAUAGCUCAGUGUUGCGAAAUAAUUUCACAACCCUCUUGGGUGUCUGCGAAAUCUCGCAGACACCAUUUUUCUCCUGCGAAAUGAUUCUUGAAGCCUCCCGAAGCUUGCUACUGACAUUGGGAGAUAUUUUCCAUUAGAUUUUUGUUGUCUAAAUCCCAAAAUACUCCUUGUAAACCACCAAUUACAUGAUUUCUUAGUUUUUAAGUUAGUAAAAAGACUAAAUAUCUUUGUAAUAAUUAGUGUUAUAUUAUGUUGAUAUAUAUACCUCUCGGGAGCCUGUUCUCAGAGAGGAGUUCCUUCUGUAAACGUUUGGUAAGCAAGUAAAGGUCUUUUCUUUCUACUGCCUUACCUUCUCACUUUGUAUUUUCAUUUUAUUUCUAAGUUAUGAAUUCUCUGAGGAAUUUUCCCCAGAGAAUGAGUAACUAAACCUCCAAUUCCUUGGAGCUAAGGUUGCCGGGGAAGGUUCCAAGUGCAAGAAUGCAAAACUUUGUGGUUUUAGCUAGUAAUGAAGAGGAAGUGAAAUCCUUCAAUGAUUUCUAUGUUUUUAGUUAACUUAAAACACCUUAGAGUCACCUGGGCCAACACUUGGUAAGGCAAGUGAUUUCCAACCAUGGAAAUGCACAAGUUUACCCCUUGCGAGCCUCUGGGACGUGACUUCAGGGUAGGAUUUUCUAGAAUAGCCAACACUUGAUAAGCUUUUGGACUCCUAGGAGACAUCCAUUAGUUAUCUCUUGCGAGCUUUUGACAGGUAAUCCAAGGUUAAAGAUCACCUUGAAUGGUAAGAGCUCGUGAGAGGCAUGAACCAUUGCAAGUUGCAUCAGUGAGAGAAUUAAAGUGAAAUCUAAUUGAAGGAGUCUCUGUACAUCACCGGUUAGAGAAUUAACUAUAUGUUGAAUCUCUAAUGCGAGGAAAUGAACCAACUGACCAGAGCCGUGUCUUUUGCAUGAGGAACCACCCUAGUGAACCUAAUUCUCCAAGGAAUGCUUUUCUUCCUAAAUUAUUCCAAACUUCUGUUAAGAUAGUUAGUUUAAGUCUAAACCUUUACCAAUCAAAGUUUGUGUUUUAUUUCUUAAGCUAACCGUGAAAUGAAACAAGACCAAUUCACUUAGAAUUGGUAUCCUUGAUUGCUUGUUAAUCAUUCCCAGUGAACGAUCCUAGAGCCACUAUACUAUAGUAGCUUUUUAUUUGCUACCCUAGUGUAUGGUGUUAUAGGUAUAAAUUUUGUUGAUCACUUCCUCAAUCAAGGAGCACCAGCUGAACACAAAUCAGCUGAGACAGCAAUUGGGCAUGAAUCAAUUUUCCUUAACAUAAAGUGUGGAUUCUGAAAGACUUUUUUUAAAGUCUAGACCAAGCAAAUAAUCAUCUAUUCGACUAUACCAGGCCCUUGGUGCUUGUUUUAAGCCAUAAAAAGCUUUAUGAAGUCGAUAGACUUUGUCUUCCAUAACAAAACCUUUAGGUUGCUCAACAUAAAUUUCUUCUUGAAGAAUUCCAUUAAGGAAUGCUGAUUUAACAUCCAUCUGAUGCACUUUCCAGCCAAGUUGAGCGGAACUAGCAAGAAGUAAUCUGAUUGUGUCAAGCCUUGCUACUGGAGCAAAUGUUUCAGAAUAAUCAACACCAAAAAACUGUGCAUAUCCUUUAACUACGAGCCUUGCUUUAUACUUGUUGACUGAACCAUCAGCAUUUAGCUUGGUUCUAAACACCCAUUUUACCCCAAUUACCUUUCUUUCUUGAGGUCUAUCAACAAGCUCCCAGGUUUUGUUUUUUUUCAAUCAUGAAUAGCUCCUCCUUCAUUGCAUCCUUCCAUUUGGACUCUUUGAGUGCUUCUUCAUGGUCGACAGGUUCAUAAAUUGCAACAUUGCAUCUCUGAUAAAUUUCAGAGAGCAAUCGAGUACUUCUUACUAGUGGAUCAUCCUCCAUUUCAUCUAAAAAACUUGUUUCAAGCUUUGUCUUUGAAUCUUCCCAAUCCCAUUCUUCAUUUUCCAUGAAGUGGACAUCUCUACUGAUAAUUAUAGUAUCAGUAUGUGGCUGGAAGACUUUAUAAGCCUUUGAAAUUGUACUAUAACCAAUAAAAAUUUCUGCAGCAACUUUUUUGUCUAGUUUAUCUCGUUUAACCUGAGGAACAUAGGUAAAACAAAGACAACCAAACACUUUAAGAAAAGUCAUUGGAGGUUUGUACCCAUACCAUGCUUCAAAAGGAGUUUGAUUCUUUACUGCCUUGGUAGAGAGUCUAUUAUGCAAAAAUACAGUUGUGUUUGCAGCCUCUGCCCAAAAUUUCUUCGGCAAAUUCUUCUUGUGGAGCAUGCAUUUGGCCAUCUCCAUAAUAAAUUGAUUUCUUAGUUCACUCACUCCAUUUUGCUCUGGAGUAUAAGGAGCUGAAAGUUGGUGUUCAAUUCCUGCUUCUUCACAAAAUAAAUUGAGUUGACAUGAAGUAUAUUCCUUGCCAUUAUCAGAUCUUAAAAUCAGAAUUUUGCAGCCACUUUCAUUCUCCACUUUUGCUUUGAACUUCCAGAAAGUGUUCCCAACCUCAAAUUUGAAUUUCAAAAAAUAUAUCUAGCACAUUCUAGUCAGAUCAUCUAUAAAAAUGAUAUAAUAGCGACUACCUUUGAUUGAGGGUGUCCUUUGAGGUCCUCCAACAUCGGUGUGAAUCAACUGCAACUUAUUUCAAGCUCUCCAAGUUGCUGUUGGGAAUGGAAGUCUGCUUUGCUUUCCAUAUUGACAAGUUUGGCAGCUUCUGGAAAUCACUUCAAACUCAGGUAAACCUUCCACCAUUUCUGAUUUUUGCAUUUUGAAAAGCCCUUGAUAACGAUAGUGCCCCAACCGUUUAUGCCAUAACUCAACAAUAUUUUCUUUUACUGGAAAAGCUAUUUGUUCUUCCUCAAGUGGAUCUAAUGAGAAACUUUUUCCUCUCAUUUUGACCUUAAACAAGUCUUGACCAGAGGCAUCCUUGAUCAGGCAAUAAUUAUCUUCAAAAUACACCUUGAAACCUUUUUCUAGCAGCUAACCAACACUUAACAAGUUUUGGUCUAUUCCAGGUACGUAAAGCACAUCAUCGAUGACUUUAGUACCUAAAUGGGUUGUAAUAGCAACAGUUCCAAUUCCUUUCGCAGGAAUAUGACCACCAUGAUCUAUUCGAACUCUUGCAAUUUUUGUAGGCUUCAAUUCUUUGAAAAGUUCCUUGUCAUGAGUCAUGUGAUUGGUGCAUCCACUGUCAAUCAAGCAGCUAUCGCUUGAAAUGCUACCUGAAAAACAAGUUGCAACAAAGAGAUGAUCAUUUUCAUCUUCAUUAGCGAUUUGGGCAUUUGUGUCUUGCUGCUGGUUUUGGUUCUUGCAAAUGAUAGCUUCAUGUCCAAGUUGAUUGCACUUGUUACACUUAGCAUCUGGCCUUUUCCAGCACUUGAACGGUGAGUGGCCAGUUUUGUCACAAUGCUUACAAGGUGGGUACUUUCCCUUGGAACUUCCAGCUUUGUUUUUGUUGCUCCUGUGUGCUGCAGCUUCUCCAUUUGAUUGUUGGUGCUUUCUAUUUUUCUUAUUUUUGUUUCUCCAACCAUCUUCAUGUUUGGCGGGCAAGGCUUCCUCUACAGUUGCUUCUUGUCUCGUAACCAUCCGUUGUUCUUGCGCCUGCAAAGAGUUCAACAACUCUGCCAACGUGAUUUUGGACAAAUCUUUGGUAUUUUCCAAAGUGGUUAUGGUAGCUUUAAAUCUUUCAAGAAUAGUAACCAGAGUUUUUUCAACAUUCCAAAGUCUUUAAACUCCGAACCAAGCAAUCUUACUCUGUUGGCUAUGCUUAAAAGCCUUCUAGAGUACUCCUUGAUGGUUUCUAACUCUUUCAUCUUCUGCAACUCAAAAUCUCUGAUUAGAUUCAGCACUUUCAUGCCUUUAAUUAUAUCAUCUCCUUCAUAUUCAAAUUUGAGAUAACUCCAAAUGGCUUUGGCUGAUUUCAAAGACAUAAUUCGGGUGAAGAUUGUAGCUGAAAUUGCUGCAAAUAGGCAGGCUUUUGCCUUAGACUUUCUGGUUUUCAUUUCAUUGUGAUUCUUGACUUGAGCCAUCAUUGGGUUGUCUGAUAGUGGAGGAACGUCAUAGUCAUUUUCAACAGCCUCCCAUAGAUCUACAGCGUCUAGGUAGGCUUCCAUCCGCACAGCCCAUAUGGUGUAAUUAUCACCAUUGAAGACUAGAGGUGCUAUUAUUGAGAAACUUGAGUCUCCUUCCAUGCUUGAAAUUUUGGUGGAAUACGUGGUGUUUUGGUGGACCUCAACUCUCUUGAAAACUCACAAUUUUUUUCACUCACGGUCCUUCAAGAAUAUAAAGCUCUGAUACCAAUUGUUGGUGUUUUAAGACAAGCUAAGGAAAGAAGACACAAUAGAAAAUAGAGAAAAUAUAUCAACGGAAGUCACUUUUUUAUUUCCUCCAUCCAACGUACAUUUAUAGAACUGGGAAAUAACUGAAAAGAGAAAAAAAAAUCUCAAAUUCAAAACAGAUAGUACGUGAUCCACAAUUUAUGAAAGUGGACUCACAUCUCCUAAAGAAUAGGAACUAACAAUAACUUAGUUUUAUUCAAACUUUGAAAAAUUAAAAUAUAACGUGGCAGUCCAAAAAGCAAACUUCUAACAAGUGUCUUUAGCCAUAGAAUUCGACUGUAAUCACUUCUGUUUGUAAUGUCGCCCAUUUUGGUGACUCAAUGCAUAUUCCUUUUUAUGUCUUUUGUGUUUUUUUAUAAUAACACCGACUUUAGAAAAAAAUUCGAAAUAAUAAUAAUAAUAAUAAUAAUAAUAAUAAUAAUAAUAAUAAUAAUAAUAAUAAUAAUAAUAAUAAUAAAUAAUAAAAUUCGAAUAUGUUUUCUUUUAUUCUAAUAAUAAUAAUACCGACUAAGAGAGAGCUGUCUUGAGUUCACAAAAUUUGUUUUCUCAGAGCUGUUUACGCACACCUUCCCAGACAACUUAAGAUGGAAAACGACUCCCAAGUAUUCCUUUGUCUAUGAUUCAGAAUGUGAAUUUAGUUGAUCCAGUUUUCAGUUUUGUAGUAAGGAGACUGAACCUUUUGCACAAGGCAACGUAUAGCUAAACAGAAAUAGAAUUGCAACAGAAGACCAUUGUGUUGAGGCCUUGCGUCCCAGUGAUCCACGUAGCUGCCAAGUGGACGCACGCUUUCAACCAAGAUUGAGUUCUGGUUCAAUCUUCCUUGCAAAAGAUGUCCGGACAGGGUGUCCGGACACACCCUCCGAUGGUUUUGUUAGCCAUGGCUCAAGAGAUUAAGAUGUCUGACUUUUUCAAGGAUAGCAAGCUUACCUUCCUCCUUAUGUGAAGGUCUUUUUAUAUAGUGUCAGAAGCUCUGCCUCCCUCUUUAAUGGUGGGAAGACUUUUUGGUUCGUCAUGAUGCCUCUAGGUGGUGGCAGGGCCAUCAUCACCUUUCGGAUGGCUGUCAGAGAUCGUGGGAUGUGACUUGCCAUCAUUCUUGUCCUUUUGCUCUGCAGGCGGCGGAACGUGGGUUGUGUCAGGCUGUCGGAAUGACGUAGCAAGGCUUGCUCACUUUAGUCGAUAAUCUGGAUAGGGAUAUGCUAUCGUCAGGAUGUGAUGUUCGCGAGUGCCGUGUGCUUCUCCCUGAGGGAGUUCGGAAAGGGGAGCGCGCCACGUGUCCUUUUAGGGGAAUCCGAAUAGAGUUGAUCCGGAUAGCGAUGCGCGCCACGUGUCAUCAGGGGGGAGGGGUCCCUACACAUUGAUGAUAUCUUUGAUUAGGGUGGAGUUCAUCCUUUUAUGGGCUUUCAUAAGAUAAAAUACGAUGCAUGGUUCCAUAUACCUAACGAAGCAUCUACAAGCACAACUUGGUAUAGGAAGACAAAUAAAUGUUAUGGCUAUCAUUUCAUUGGAAGAGUGAUUUAAUAGUAUGACACACGCACCCAAAAAUACAUGUAUUGCCCUAAAAGUGCCACAAAAUUCUGUCUACUAUUAAUUCUGUGGCUCCCUUCCAUCAAUUAUAGUUCCAACACUUGCUCUUGAUCCAGUUAUGAGCUCAUCACCCUCGCAUUUUGCAUCCACCACUUCUCCUGCCAUUCCAAUUCAAUAUACAUUGCAUCACUAAACAUUUGAUGAAGCUACAAACAUGGACAUUUACAUCAAAUUAACUACAGAACAUCUGGACUGACUAGUUAUGUAUAGACUGAUCAGUUUACACUGAUAAUUUGAUAUUUUUUCAUACACGUGGGGUGGAAAGAGAGAGAGAGAGAGAGGGCCCUAACUUUGGGAUAGUGACUAUCGCUAUGAAGUGACUCUUCCUAUUAAUGCGUUGGGAGCACUUAGAGCAAAAGAUAGAACGCUAAGAUGGUACUUGAGGACCAAGACGUGUGGGGUUCAUAUUUCCAAAACUGUUACUUAUGACAUCUCUUUCCUACACUUGUAAUUUUGGGAUGAAUAGGAGAGAAGAGAGGGUACUGGCGGGGGCUAGAAACAGAAAUACGAAGCAACAAAACGAAUUAUUACAGAGCCAACCAUAAAUCCCCAUCCCUUCACAAUCACUCCCACACUCCAGCAACCAUACAGAACAAUAAAAAAACCGAGUGCAAAGGUGUAAGGCAUAUUAAGCAUAUAGCGAAGCCAGCAACAUUACCUACUACACUUUGCUAGGUAUCACUUUGGCAAAGUUUUUGGAGGGACAGAGAGAGUUGGAAUUACAGGUGGUAUAGCCAUGAAAAGAACAGUUAUCCCUUUUCACCUCCAGAACCUACUGAUCCUCCCAGUAAAACAAUGGAUUGGUUAAGCAACAAACACAGGCUCAGUUCUUGUGGUGGGAAUAGAAAGAUAUACUAGUGAUUGAGAUGUGAGAGCAGAAUUAAAAGUAUCACAUAUAAAAAGGUUCAGUUCCUCCUUGGUAUUAGAUGCUUUCAGUUACUAAUCAGAAUCAAGGUACUGUAGGCCAUCCUUUAUCGAUGCUAUUAUAUUAAGCCAAUGCCUGUUUGGUCUUCCCUUGCCACCCCUUAGAAGAUCAACUUUUGUAACAUACCCACCGGUGUCCUUACUUUCACUAGAAAAGCAGCAGCAUGCUAGACAUUUCAAUGUUUGACCUUUUUUAUGAAACAACCCCAUCCACAUCUUGAGACAGGCAACCAGAAAAGACCAGAGAGGUCCAUACCUCAUGGGAGUCAAGCCACAUUAAAAAAUCUAAUCCUUUUCCCAACAACUUGAAUUGCACAAGCAGGAACUGGUGAGAUCUUGUGGUCCCAGUUGCCAACUCUUGGGUCUCGACUACAAUCUUAAGUUCAAGUACAAUCAAUAUUGAGCAGCAUAAUCAAUACACUGUAACUCGUCACAAACGCCAUGAAGGAGUUCAGGAAAAACGUUGAACGAUAUUCCUAGCAAAUUGCUGGGGAAAAAGUGGACACCGAAUGUUAACCCUCAUCUAAACAUUUAAUCUAUAACUCAGAAUCAGUGUCUCACGAACAAUUGAGUGUAAUCAAACUUGAGUUUACCUGAAUACUCAUUACAAUCAUCAUUUCAAGUCCCAAACUAUCAAAUGAGUUGAGCUUUUUUGAGGUCAGCAACAACUCCCCGAUCCUCAGAGCUCCUUUCAUUGUAUAGUACCUGAAUAAAAUUGAGAGAAUGGGUUAGAUACAACAUGAAAACCAGACUGAAUGCAAAUUAAUUCUUUCGACUGGAGGUACCUUGUCAAUAAUGCUGUAUUCAACACCUUCACUAGGACUAAAAUAUUUUGGGCGCCUGAUGUCAGCUUCAAUUUGCUCGGGUGACUUUCCCACAUGUUUUGCAUAGAGUUUAACCUUGAACAUAAGUUAAAUGACAAAAUGUUCUUUUUCUUCUCAUAUGCUUGGCUACAUGACCAAAUGAACAAGUGCUUGUCAGUCAGGUCCAUCCUCAGCUUGCUUUAAACUCUAAGGAAAAACAACAUUGUUGGAUAGAAACUGAUUCAACAAGCACUCAAAAUAAUAAGAAAAUACACUUGCCCUUUUUCUAAAAUAACUAUCAAUACUAGUCAUCUGACUUGAGAAAUUGACUCACACCAACUUAUUACAAUGAACAAACAAGCAUGCCAUUUAUUACUUCCAUACUCAAAGCUGUGGUUUCAGCCAUCAAUCAAAACUGGAGUGACUCCAUAGGUUCCAGAUGAUGAGCCAAUGAUUGUAUAUCGACUAGAUAGGAAGAAGAAGAGAGAGAGAAAGAGAGAGGGAUUUUAUUGUUUAGACAAUACAACACCUCUGCUAUAUAUAGCAGGGAUUAGGAAAAUAGAGAAUAACAGAGUUUUAACAAAGAAACGAAAAUAACUAAUGCUAUUGCAACAAACUAAACAAACUAAACUACUAGUUGUUAAUUGCUACUUUGCCUAAUUUGCUCCCUCAAACGAAGCCUCUGGGAGCCACUGAACCUGCCACCAUAAACUUCAAUCAUUCAAGCUUUUUACCACUCAGUAGAAGCAAUCAGACUUUCAAAAGGAGAUCCUAAGAACCUUCACUGAUUUUCCCUUUCAAAACAAACAUCCCAGCAACUCCAAGCAAAUAUUGCUGUCACACUAAGCCUAAUCUCCAUUCUUCAGAUCAAGAGAAGUAACAGUAAGCUUCCCACGCAGCUUGUCAAAGAACCUGAAAGAUAAAGGCUUUGUGAACACAUCUGCAACUUGAUCCCCAGUUGGUACAUGAUUGACCACCAACUUUCUCUCCAUUACUUUCUCUCUUACAAAAUAAAGGUCUAACUCCAUAUGCUUAGUCUUCGAAUGCAAAACUGGAUUAGCUAAAAGGGAAACGGUACUUAUAUUGUCACACCAAAUUACAGGAACCAUAGUCAUCUUAGUUUGGAGCUCAGACAAGAGGGACUGCAACCAUAACAUUUAUGAGGUCAAGCUAGCCAAGCUUUUAUAUUCUACUUCAGUACUAGAUCUAGAAAUAGCGUGCUGCUUUUUUGAACUCCAUGAAACCAAGCUUUUCCCAAGAAAAACACAAUGCCCAGAUGUAGACCUUCGAUCAUCAACAUCACUCCCCCAGUCAGCAUCGUAAAACCCCACUAAAUUCAUAGUUUCUGAUGGCUUCAACACAAUACCAAGAUCUGUAGUGCCAUUGAGAUACCUUAAAAUUCGUUUGAUAGCCUUCCAAUGAGUAUCUAAAGGCUUCUGCAUAAAUUGGCAAACUUUGUUGACACUAAAAGCAAUCUUGGGUCUAGUGAUGGUUAUGUAUUCCGAAGCUCCAACAACACUUCUAUACUAAAAAACAUUAUCAAUUGGAUCACCCGUUCCAGUUGAAAGUUUUAAACCAGAAAGCAUAGGAGUGGGAAAUGACUUAACUCCAUCCAUUUUAGUCUUCUUGAGCAGAUCCUGAAUGUAUUUUUUUUUUUAGAGAUAUGGAGUCCACCAUCUGUAGUUUUCUUUACCUCAAUUCCCAAAAAAUAGCUAAGCUCACCAAGAUCUUUAAGAGAAAACAAACCACUUAACUUUGAGAUAAGCUCGUGAAUCUCUUGACUACUACUUCCUAUCACCACAAUGUCAUCAACAUAAACAAGAACAAAGAAAGAAGAACAGUUGGUAAACCUUACAAAUAAGGACUGAUCUGACUUAGUGGAAGAAAAACCAAACCAUUGAAGAGAAAUCUUGAGUUUGUCAAACCAGGCCCGAGGUGCCUGCUUUAAGCCAUACAAGGCCUUAUGUAGUUUGCAAACUAGCUUUUGUUCUUGAUUGGUUCUACCAUCAAAACCUGGAGGUUGGUCCAUGUAAACUUCCUCUUGCAAUUCACCAUUUAAAAAGGCAUUAUUGACAUCCAACUGCCUUAUAGACUAGCUUUGAGAAAUAGCAACAGCAAGAACAACUCUAAUUGUAGUAGGCUUCACAACUGGGUUGAAGGUUUCAGAAAAAUCAAAACCAGGAACUUGAGAGUAGCCCUUUGCUACUAGACGAGCUUUGUACCUAGAGAUAGAACCAUCAGGAUUCCUUUUGAGUUUAAAAACCCAUCUGCACCUAACAAAAGUUUUGUUACUUGGAAGAGAAACCAAAGACCAGGUCUUGUUCUUCAUCAAAGCUCUAAAUUCUUCACCCAUUGCUUCUUUCCAUUUGGGAUGAGAGAUUGCUUCCUGGAAAGCAUUAGGUUCUUCAACGUUAAGAUUAACAGUAUAGACCUUCGGUUUAAAAAUACCAUUCUUUGACCUCAUAACCAUAUGAUGUGGUUGUUGUGGUAAAGUGACUGGUCUUGUAUUGAUAAAUUCAUUUGGUUCAUCUGAAUUUGUUGAUCAAGGAAUUGUACCAGGAAGAGCAUAUAGAUUAGAAGAAGAAUAUAUGGAAGCUGACUCAUUGAGAAUUGGCACAAUUGAAGAAGAAUCAGUGUUUGAUAAAUCCUGUUGAACAGACCUAAUGUCUGAACCAGGAUUCUCAUCAAGUUGAUGACUUGACUGAGCUGAAGAUGUGGGAAGUGACAGUGAAGGACUGACACUUAUUGUCUCUAGGUUUUUAACUAAAGGAAUGCAAGGAAGACCAACUGUUGAAUGUAAAACAGUUUGAACAGGUUUUUGAAGUUUAUCUGCAAAAGGAAACUUAGUUUCAUCAAAGAUAACACUUCUAGAAAUAAACAUUCUUCCUUGUUGAUUUAAGCAUUUAUACUCUUUGUGUUUAGAACUAUAACUAAGGAAAGUACAAGGUGAGGACCUAAAAUCUAGUUCAUGUUUAUUGUAAGGUCUUAGGUGAGGAAAACAAAGGCAGCCAAACACCUUAAGCUGAGAAUAAUUGGGUUUAGAAUUAAACAAAAACUCAUAGGGACUUUUGCUUUAAGACCUCAGUAGGCAACUUGUUGAUAAUAAAAAUAGAUGUGGAAAAAGCAUCAGACCAAUAUUUAAGUGGAACAGAAGCUUGAGCAAGAAGAGUCAAACCUAACUCCACUAUAUGUCUAUGCUUUCUUUCAAUAAUGCCAUUCUAUUUUGAAGUAUGAGGACAUGAAAGCCUAUGUAUUAUACCAUUUUGUUCAAAAUAGGUUUUCAAACUUCUAAAUUCACCACCCCAAUCUGUUUGAAAGGUUUUGAGUUUACAACCAAAUUGGAGUUUAGCUUGAGCUUUAAACAGUAAAAAGGCUUCUUUGGUUUGUGACUUAGUUUUCAAGAAAUAAACCUAGGUGUAUCUAGAGUAUGCAUUAGCAAAAGAAACAUAAUAUGUGAACCCAUAAAAAGAAUUAAUUGGAGCUGGCCCCCAUAAAUCUGAUACAACUAACUGAAGAGGCUUAGUAUACAUAGUUUGAGAAAUUGGAAAAGGCAAAUUAUGACUUUUCCCGAGCUAACAAGCUGAACAAAUUGAAGAACCAGAUUUGGUAGAAAAUGGAAUUUUAUUAUCAUUGAGAAUUUGUGUUACAAUUUUUGUGGCCAGAUGACCAAGCCUUUUAUGCCACAGAUCAAAAACAUGAAAACUAGAAUUGGUUGUUUCUGGAAAAUCAAAAUUGUCAUUAUGCAUAAGAAAAGCAGUACAACAUGUAAGUUCAUUUUGACCAUUUGAUAAAGAAAGACCAGAUGCUUUUCCAAAGAGUUUCUUUGACAGGUUGAACUAAUAGAGUCCUUUAUGUAGAUUGCCCUGCAAGAGUAAAGAGUGAUUAGAUCUGUCUUUAACAAAACAAACCUUUGGAUGAAACUCAAAAUAAACAUUAUUAUCUCUAGCAAAUUGAGAAACACUUAACAGAUUUUUCUUAAUUGUAGGAACUCUAAGAAUAUUUUUAAGAAAAAGAACUUUAUUUGGACUAGAAGAAGAAGGAAAAAUAGAUAAACCAAUGUGUGAAAUUUCAGGUCCAGUCCCAUUUCCCAUGUGGAUUUUUGAGUUGCCAUUAUACUCAACACCAGAAUUGAGGUUGCCAAGAUCAUGAGUAACAUGGUUUGUGGCUCCUGAGUCUGGGAAUGAACAACAAUUUUGAAGAUCUUCAGGAGUGGCAACAAUUGCUUCCAUUUUUGAGUAAUCUUGAUCUUCUUGAGCAUCAUACUCAGUGAGAUUGACAUUUCCAACACUAGAAAUUGAACCAGAUGCUCCAUUCCUUGCACCACUUCCUAAAACACCAGGAGUAGGUCCAUUAGCAGGCAUAUUCCCAUGGAAAUUUGGAUUAUACCUAUAGAAGCAACGAUGAACAGUAUGACCAAAUUUAUUGCAUAGUUGACACUAAGGCUUGAUUCCUCCUUGAGCUCUGCCAUGACCUCUUCCUCUAUUAGGAACAAAAAACCCUCUAAUUAUCUGAUUUCCUCCAAAUUGAUUCCUAUUCUGAAAACCACUAGAAGGGUAGCCAUUAGAAUUCCAAGAGGAAGAAGAACCUCUAUUAGAAUACUGAGAGGUGUAAUUCACAGAAAGAUCAUUAGAGGAGAUUUUGUGUGCAAUUCUUCCUUCAUGAGCAAUCAAAGUCGAGGUGACAUAUUGAAGAGAAGGAGAAGACUUUUUAGAGGAGAUAACAGCAAUGACAGACUCGUAUUCAUCUCCAAGACCUUGCAUUAUAGCAAGUAUAUGAUCUGUGUCUGAAAUCUUAUGACCAGCAGUAGCAAGAAGAUCACAAUAAUUCUUCAUUUUGGUAAGAUAAUCUCUCAUAGUCAGACCAUCCUUUUUUAACAUAUGCAUUUGACUCUUGUAGAACAUAACCUUUGCAGAAGAUUGAGAAUUGAAAUUAUGGGAAAUUGUAUUCCAUACCUCAAAAGCUGAAGAACACCCAACAACCUGAGGCAAGAACGCACUUCCGAUUGAAGAUAGAAGCCAAGAAAUCAACAGAUGAUCUUGGCGUUGGUAAUCUCUGAACUUAGGAUUUGGAACCAAAAUCCCUGUUCCAUCAUUCACCAUCUUUGGUGGAACUUGCUCUGUUCCAAACAAGAAACCUUCAAGACCAUAACCCCGUACAACAUUUUCAAUUUGAUACUUCCACAUCAAGAAAUUAUCAUCCUCUAGACGCAUAGUAAUAAGCUGACUCAAAGGGCUUAUUGCCAUUCUCAAAGAUUCGUCUGUGGUCGUCGGAUUGCCUCUUCUAGUUUCAGCUGAAGGAUCCAAAUGUAGCACCUCUCUAGUAGUCUGAUUCACAUCUGCCAUUGAUGUGUGAGCACUGAUGCUCUGAUACCAAGAUAGGAAGAAGAAGAGAGAGAGAAAGAGAGAGAGGGAUUUUAUUGUUUAGACAAUAUAACACCUCUGCUAUAUAUAGCAAGGAUUAGGAAAACAGAGAAUAACAGAGUUUUAACAAAGAAACGAAAAUAACUAAUGCUGUUGCAACAAACUAAACUACUAGUUGUUAAUUGCUACUUUGCCUAAUUCAACUCAAUGUAAGACAUCUCAGCAAAUUAGGAAUACUCCAUUUUUCAAAACAUAAUAGAGAACUUUCCGAGUUUAUGCCACUUAGUUGCUUUUUAAAAGGCAUAUUUAUUUAUUAUUUAUUUUAUUUUUUAUUUUUAUUUAUUUAUUUUUAUGAGAAAAAGGCAUAUUUCCCACCUCAUAGAUUCAAGGCUUAUGAACAUAUUAUGCCAUAGAUAAACCUUUCGCAACAUUUAAACAAGUCAAUACAUAUUACAAUCAAACUCCACCUGCCAGCACUUCAUAUGUAAUAGUAGACAAAGGCAACAUAAUUGACUGUUAAUCUUACCAACUCUGCCUUCACAUUCUUCACUUCUUUUCUUGCAAGGUCAAUAUCUGUCGCCUGACCUUGAAGCCUUGCAAUUGGAUGCAGAUUGAUAGGAGGACAUGACUUUUCAUCUUAAAAUUUGAAAAAUUCCUUUGGAAAUUUAAUUAACAUCAUGACACUCUUUCGAGCCUUGUAAAAAAGACAAAGCAAGAGAACAAAAGAUACACAAUAGCUUAGAGCAAUAAAAAGUACUGGUAAAGAAGAAACCUGCUUUAGCAUGAUUGUUGAUGAAGGCAAAGCUGAACGGUUUCCUUUUGCACCUGCAACCAAAAGUAAGGCUGCUUCUCCCCAAGGAUUACCAACACACAAAGUAAAAAUCAGUGACUUUACAUACCUGCAGCAGAAGAUAAUAGCUAAGUCAGAUAUAGGAAAAAGAAGUAAAGAGUUACUCCAAAACUACUAGGUAAGCAACCGUGUAAUAACAAAGUUUUGAUUUGCAUUGGCAAGCUUCUUGUUUUUAUUUAUUUUGGUUAGGCAAUUUGCAUUCACGAAGGCUUCUAAUAAUUGUAUCUAGCAUCGAUACAAUACAAUACAUGUACAAAUACAAGAUAUCAAUAACAUUUGUCACUACAAAAUCAGUGCCAAAAGGGAAAAAUAUUUACAUAUUUUGUUAAAUGGUUAUUGGUGUUAACUUUUAUUAGUAAAGGACCUAUGCGUUAUUUUAGUCUUUUAUGGUAUUUUGAAUACGAUAUAUAUGCUUCCCUUCCUCUCAAAAUUUUUGGGUGUGUUUUCUUUGUUCAUAAUCUUCCUCCAAAUAAGGGCAAGAUUAAUAUUUCUCGGAUACUCAAAAAUGCAAAAUGAAUACAAGUGCUUUGACCCUGUGUCAUUAAUAUUUUAUUAGUGCUGAAUUAACCUUCUUUAAUAUACCCUUUGUUUUCCUCAUCAUGUUUUUUUUUUUUUGAUAAGUAAAAGCAAUUGUAUUAAGAAAGCUUGAUGUACACCUUAAAGCAUACACGAUGUCAAGGCCAAAAGGAAAAGCAAAAAAAUCAUCCCCUUACAACCCAACCCAUCAAUGAAAUCAGAAAUGGACCAUGAUGUACAAUCUACAUGCACAACAAUCCAAUCUAAAAACAUGUACAAAAAAGACCGUAAAAUAGCUUGAUCCACUAAUGAGUUGAUCAUGUUUUCCUCAUCAUGUUUCACAACUAGACAAUGAGUUGUCUCAAUCUAAUUUUAUUCCUCCCCCUUCUAUUACUAAUAAUCCUCCACUUGGAACUAGAAAACCAUUACAAGUGUCAAAAGAAACGAUUGAUUAAAAAUAGGGAAGAAAAUGAAGCCACCAUGUCCAAACUCUCGGAAUAACCUUUCCCCUACCCUUCAGUCUUUUACUCAUAUCAUGUCUACAACUUUCAUCCUUAAAUCUUAUCAAAAAGUAAUUUUUAUUAUAUAUAAGUAAAAGUAUUGUAUUACGAUGAGGCACUAAAAUAGGGACCCAAAGACAAUGGAAGAAGAGAUGCAUGCUCUUCUUAAUAGAGGUACAUGGAAGCUUGCUCACCAGCCCCAAAGGAAGGAUAUUGUUGGUUGCAGGAGUCUUUGCCAACAAGUAUCAUCCAUAUGAGAUUAUAAAGUGAUGGGAGGCUAAGGAGUAUACUCAAAUUUAAGGUGUAAAUUACUUUGAGACCUCUCCAGUUGACUAUAUUAGUUAGAUGUGAGAAUGCAUUAUUUUAUGUUGAUUUGAGUAAGGAAGUAUAAUUAGGGGAAUUUGAGAGUUCAGUUUGCAAAUUAAUAAGGUUAUUUAUAGAUUAAAACAAUCUCCUCAUGCCUAGUUAGAUAUAUUAAGUAUUAUUUUUCUAUCAUUUGGUUUUACAAAAUAUGAUAUUGACUACCUUGUGUAUUUGUUCUCAAGAGGGAAACUGGCAUAGUAGUACUCAUAUAUGUAGAUUCUCUAACAGUGAUAUCAUAAGCAUUGAAGAAGUGAAACAUUACUUGAAAAAAAACCAUUUUAGACAAAGGAUCAUGGGUUGUUGGGUUACAUCUGAGGCAAUUCAACACAUACCAUAUGUAAGAUUGUUUUGCCAAAGUAAAUAUGUAUCACAUUUGCUCAUUGAGAUUGGUAUGUUAGGAGUAAAGCCAGGGGAGAUCCUAUGUACCAAAUUGGGAAAGUUAAUAGACAAGAUAGUCCUAUAGUUCUAAACCUCCAGAUAAAAGAAGGUAUCAGAGUUUAGUGCGUACGCUCAUUUAUUUGACAGCUAGUUCAUGGAAGCACCAAAGCAAAUUUACUGGGACGCAAUGUGCACAAUCUUAACGUAUCUUAAAGCCUAAAGGUACUAUAAGUAUGAGAGUAAUCUAAAAAAGAAGUUCUAGCUUUGUCCUUGAUGCUGCGAGCCUUUCAAAUGUGGACUAGGCAGAAUCUUCAACUAACAGGUGGUCCGCUAGUGGGUAUUUUACCUUGUGCGUGGUAACCUAGUUACUUGGAGAAGCAAAGGUAGAAUGUCAUAUUUAAGUAGAAUACAGGACUAUGACUCAUACAGUGUGAGAGUUAAUGUUGGGUCCCAAAUUUCUAUAGGACUUUGGAUUUUCUCUUGAAAAGCUCUUGAUCAUGUAUUGUGAUAAUUAGGCUAUUAUUCACACUACCAGUUACCCCAUUUUUGACAAAGCACAUUGAGGUUGACUCAUUUUAUCAAAGAAGUUUAUGAGCAAGAAAGUAAAUUCUCUACACUGAUGAGAACUUGACUCAACUCAGGAAAGCCAUAUUCCAACUGCUUUGGGAGAAAUAAGAUAAAUGUUCUCAAGGAUUAGAGUAGAACUUUUACACAAGCAUUCCACCAAAGGCAAAUCUCUUCUUUCACUUUCUCUUAUACUCUGAUCUUUCCAAUUACUGCUUUAAGAUUCAUGACUUUCUGAUGCAUUUAGGCUCACUAGUAUCUUCAAACUAUUUGUAAAAUUUUGUGUUAACAUUUAUAUUUCAAUAUGGAAGUUAGACAUCAAUACACAACAUAGACUAUUGAUACAUGCCACUUCAAUAAUUAACUGAAUGAAUUAGGGUGGAUCCAAUUGGCUAUUAACUUUAAAGGCCAGAGUGAUAUUUUGUGGUGGAAAUUUUUAAAAAAGUUACAAAUAAACAAAGCACAAUGAGCAUAAUCCAAAAAAAAUGUUGGCACAAACUCAAUCAUAUUCAGUUUGAGGUCUAAAAGACAUGCUCUAAUUCAAUGUGGAUAAUGAAAGAAGUUUAGGCAAAUGCAUUGUUCUACAGAAAAACUAAGAGAUGAUAGGCUUGGAAAAAGUUGGAAACUAUCGAAUUCCCCAGAAAUUACGAUAGUCACCAGAUCAUAGUUGUUAAUAGGUACGCUUAAAGCUACUCUAGGCCCAAGGCUCAACUACUCCUAGUCGUAGCUCCUUGCUUGUCAAGGCAUGCACCUUGUUGGAGAAGCGCAUCUCAUCUACUUUACUCUUCCUUUUCUAACUCUUUUAUUGUUAGUAUUUCUAACAGUGUGUUGAAAUUUAUAUGAUCUCAUUAUUUUUUGGUUGAAGACUUCUUUUAAAUGUUUGGAAUUUGAAACUUUUUAUCAAUUGGAUUGGAUUUUGAAUAACUUUUUAUCAAUUGGAUUGGAUUUUGAAUAACAUUAUAGAAAAUUGACAUAUUCUAGGUCAUAUUUCACUUGGCUCAAGCGUGCAUCUUAUGUUGUGCCUAAGCAUAAGCCUAAGCCUAAGCCUAAACCUUAAGAGACUUUUACACCCUAGGUGCACUUAUCGCCUUUUAAAACUAUUGACUAGAUUGAAUCCCUGGAACUAUAAAUUAGUAUUUACGCAAUUUUUCUUUAGUCAAUGAAAAUUUAAAUUCAGUCAGAUUUCUAGUCAGAAAUUGGACAGGAAAAUUAAAUAUCCAUCUUCUAAAAAGAAAUAAUCUUCUAAAAAAAAAAGAAAAAAAAUCCCAUAUCCAUUUAAAGUAAGGAAUAGAUAACCUGUAUAAUGUAAUAGUGUAAAAGAAGGAAAAUCAUAUAUGAUAGCCAAGUGCUUAAACUAAAAUAAAAUUUGUAUAUGAUAAUGAGAAGUGACCUUGUUGAAUCUGUGGUUUAAAAGCCACAUAAGAAUUUUUCUAUGGGGACUGAUAUAAGAUGAUGUGCAAUCUCAUUUCAACAAAAAGCAUUGAAGCUUCCACAGUAGCAAGGAAAGAAACUCCAUUAUUUUAUUAGAAGAAAAGAAAUUUAAAAUAGUACUCAAUUCUUGAGAUAAAACGUAAUGAUGUUCUAAUCCAACCCAAUGUGUACUUGAACUAGUCUCACUAAGAUUCAUGUAGUCUUAAACCUAAAAAAGUUUUAGUUCAACUAUUUAACCACUAAGACUUUGGAAUUCACUCUUCAAAUUCAGAUAGCCAAAAGAAGUAUGAUUUUGGUUCCUGUUUUAUUCGUAAUGUGGAAUCACUAACCCCACGUCGAAGGAUUGAGGAAAACCACAGAUACACAACCCCUUCCCCUAGAACUGUUAUCAUGCAAGCUUGGGAAUCGAAUCUGAGACCUCUAAUUUGGGAGUCCGAGAAUAAGGUUUUAACCAUAUCCAACACUUGGAUGCAUGUGACAGUCAGAUACCACUCAUUUUGUGCUGAUAAUACCAUCAAAAUAUUCUACCAUUGCAACACCUAGACAAGUUCUCAUGACAGAAGAUACACGUAUAAAUACUAAGGUACCAACACACUGAUUUUUGUUUCUUGCAAGUAUUUGGCACUUUUUCUUGCAUUUUAAAAUGUAUAAUUAAAAAUGUAAUAUGGUCUAUACUUGUAUAUCCCAAUAUGUUGAAUCCUCAAUCACUAGGAUUUGUACCACAUAGCCAACUAUUAACAUGAUGAAAUAGACGUUGAAACGCAAAAGUUCGCUAAACAACUUGCUGCUGAGAUUGCUUCAGGAGAAGUUCUUGCAGAAGAGGUUUCUGUACUGAAAUUAGAGUGUUCAAAACUCAAGGAGGACCUCGAACAUCUUAGAAAUUCUAAGUCAAUUCCCGAAUUUGCUAGGAGGGAAAUUAUCCGGACAGAUUAGGAUCAUAGAUUUGAAGACUCACAGCUGAGAUGGCUAAAGGGAUUUUUAAAUAUGGAGGACAAGACGAGAGUUUCAAACUAAGGACCUCAAACAAAGAACUGGACAAACAAUUUCCAUGUUCAAUGCUUUACCAUCAGAAAUUGCAAACAUAAAGGAGAUGAGAGAAAGACAACAAUUUGUGUCAGGAACUGGAUUUGAUGCUGUAUUAUAUCAACCUAAAGAUUUCCUUCAUUACUUAGUGUAUCUGGCCUGGUUUCUAUUGUACCUGAUUCUCUAGAUGCCACCAAUGCAACAAAAGACAAAUCCUUUAAACUUCAAAGAGAGGGUUGGAUGAGUCUAAAGCCGAACGGGAAAGCCUUGCAAGAAAAAUGGACCAGAUGGAGUACUACUAUGAAGCCCUUGUGCAGGAGCUUGAGAAAAACCAGAAGCAGAUGCUGGGAGAAUUGCAGAAUCUGCAGAAUUUGCACUCUCAAUUACAAGAGGGAUAGAAAGCUCUACCUUUGGAUCUGAAAUUAGUCUCCAAAAAUUGAAACAGACGAUGAUGUCCGAACUUGAUUCAGAGAAUAAAGUAGGGAAGUUAAAGAAUUCUAAUAUAAAAUUGCAACUGGAGAAUUCUGAUUUGCAUGUAAAGGACUUAGGUAAUUCCCUGCACCACAAGCCUGAGUAGGAAGUCAUGCUGCUAACAGAUGAACAUGGACAUACAAAAAGGUCCGAGGAAAAGGAAAUCGACUUCAUUUUCGACCACGACCUAUGGUCAUCCUCUCAAGCUGAAUCCAAUUGGAUGUGAUUCUUCAGCCUUCAGUUCUUCAGCUAUCAGAAAUGGCAGUCCAAAAAGAAUAAAUUUCUCAGCAUAUUUCAGAGAUUUAUACGAGGAAUUAAUGUCAAAGCUCUUGGAAGUAAGUCCGAACGUAAGGGAUUUCAAGUAAUCAGAAAAGACCCAAAAAUGCAGCGAUGUAAGGUAUUUGAAUACGUGCAAGAGAGUAGAAAGGGAAAAUUUAGAGAGAAUAACGGCAGCACCUACAACCACCAGCAACAGUCACAACUGGACCCCCAAGCCCCACUCUAGCACGGCCAUUCUGGUGCACAUUACCCUCUUCCUCUUGCACCCUCUUGUUAUCCUCGUAUUUUUACAUAUUUUAAAUUGUGUUCUCAAAAUCGUUUUCAUCCAAAUAAUUCUUAUUUUAAAGAAUCGUCCUCAAUCCUUCCAUAAGCAGUAAGAUCCAGAUUUUAACAAACCCGUUGCUGCCAAUUUUCCCUCUGGUAUGCAUUUUCACUGUUUUCAAAUGAUUUUCUUGAUUUUCUUUUUUAAGCAAGCAUGAGCAAACUUCAUGAUUCCAAACAAUGGAAUUCAUAGAAUCAACUCAUGCAAAAUCAACUAGGGCUUUGGUGGGGGCCCGAUAUUCAUGAUAUUCUCAUCAAUAUAGUUUGCUUGAUAUUUGAUUGAUUGUACUUCCUCUUUGUGGUAUUGAGAUUAUUUCGCACUUGUUAUUAAGCAAACUUGUUUCCCAUAGAAGAGUAUUAGCUUGCUAUCUAGGUACGCUCAUCAUGCCCUCAAACUCUAAAAUUCUAUGAAUGUGUAUGUUAUCAUGAGCCAUGUCCAUGUUUGAUGCCAUAAUUGAUUGCCUUGAUGCUUGUUUGAUCAUCUUUGAUAAAAAUGCAUAUUAUGCGUCAUAUUUUCAAACUACCCUUUGAUGUCUUGUGAUAGCGCUUGAGAAGCCGUUCAGGUACGCACUUUGACUCUCUCUUAUGAUCAGACUUUGUUGCUUGACAUACUAUUUUUUGAAAACCCUUAGCUUACUUAGGUGUCCAUAAUCAAUCAUUUAUUUGCCACGUUUCCCUCAACUUAGUCAGUAGAGACUUUUAUAAGGCUUAGAGGGGGGCUACCUUUUAGAGGUAUCUUCCCAAUAAGUAACAUGAUCCUCGGACCUAGACUCGGGUUUUUUCAAAGACAUGUUUUUUCCAAAAAUUAUGGAGUCACAUUUUAGGGUUUUUCUUUCUUGUUUUAUUUUCCCUUUAAAAUAAAAAUAAAAUAAGGGGCGACUCCGACUUUUUCCAAAAUUAAUUUUUCACAAAUAAAAAGCGAGUCUCGUCGAUCAAGUGGGGGCGCACGUGAAAAAUGCGGGUCCACAAUAAUGUAAGAGCCCAUUAGAGCCGCAAUCCAAGCGUAAAGAUUGUGGAAGCUUAGUUGAAACUUUAAGGAUAGUGGAACCCUCACUAGGUGAGGAGUUUAAGGGAAGUGGACGUAAGCAAGGGAUGUCAAACCACUAUAAAAUUGUGUUUGAUCUCUCUAACUCAAUCUCUUUACAUUUAUUCCUUAUUUUGCUUAAAAUUGUUGUGGCUGAAAAAGUUUUUGAAAAACCCAAUUCAUUUGGGUGUUUUUUUUUUUUUUUAUAAUUAGAUUAGCCUUAUUUUCUCAUUUCUGUUACAACUUCCAUGUUUUUUUUUUUUUUUUUUUGUUGUUACAUGUCAUCUUUUAUUAAUGUUAACUUAUAUAUCUUAUGAACCAUUUAAACUUAAGUAUAAUACUCACUCAUCUUUUUAAAUCAUUGAAAUCGAAAUUAUUAGCAUUAUUGAUGCUUAAAUGAGAUAUAGAUGUUGAUUAAAUUAGAAUAUUAUCACAUGAUUAUAAUUAAAAACAAUGCCAAUCUUCCUUUUAAAUGCCGAUCUUUGCCUAAAAAUGGGUAUUUUAAACCUAAAGUUUCUUUAAUAAUAUAUUUUGCUCACAUAUUAACAUAUUAACCCUAACAUGUUAUUACAUGAGUUUUAUGACAUAAAUGAUUCAUGUUGUUAAACAAAAUAACAUGAAAUUAGAGAAAAUGCUUGUAGCAUGGCCCAAUUGGAAAACAUGCAUACAAAGCCAAAGUCAUCUCUAUCAAAUUUAUCAAAUAUUUACAUCAAUUUUAAUACAUAUUUAAUAUUUUAAUCGCCAUUUGGUGAAUACAAUUUAAUGAGUUAGAGCUACUAAAGAUGAAUCAACUUGUGUUGCAUAUUAGCAUGAGCAUGUUGCUUGAUCAUUUAGUUUUGUUUUGCCAAAAUAUCUGAAAAAGUGGAACUUUAUUGAUAAUAUAUAUCACUAAACUUGGUACACAGUCCCAUUCUUUAUUGAGCAAAGCCAAGAGUGCUUUGUUGUAACACCACAUACAAACAUAUAUUUGAUCACUCCACAAACAAAAAACUAGAAAUAUUUAAUAACCCAUAUAGCUACCACUUCCUAUGAUACUCUCUGAUUAUGCAGAAGUUGGAACCACAAUGGAAGAGCUUAAUAAUCAAGCUGAAAUUUUGAGUCAUACGCAACCCCAGCCUUCCAAUGACUAGGAAUCACAUUCAUCAGCUGCACCCACUUUUGCCCACGUCUCCCACUCACUUGGAACCUCAGGCUUACAGGACCCUUCGGUGGGUUAGCCAUGUCCCAUACUGCGCCAUAGCUCUUCCUCAUGCCCUUCCAUGCCUGGCUAUCCUCCUGAACCCAAAAGGAAUUGUGAAUUAGUACUCUUAAAUUUUAUCCAUAAUUUGAUUAGAAUGGCAGAUGCCUAGGUUGCUGUAAUAGUAUGUGUACCUGCCAUAUGUCCACUGCUGUGAUGUCGCUUAGGCCAGCUUGGUACAACAUGACUAGAGCUAAGUAGUCGGGAAACCGACUGUUCUCAUGGACCUUGAAGAAGAUGUUGGAACCCGGGUACUGACAUGGGACCCUUCUGUAUUCUAUGCCGACCACCCCAUAAGCAAAGAGGUCUGCAGCCUUGUUUGGACGAGCCAACAUUGAGAAUCCGUGCCGGCUGAGGAUGAAGUCGGUGUCAUCUCCUCCUCCGUGGUCGGUCACCACUACCUUCAUCCCAACAUCUGCACAAAGUUUUGGUAUCUUGCACCUAACCUGAAUUAUCAAUAAACAAUUGAGCACCAUUAUGGAUACAAAAAUCGAAAAAUCCACAUGUUUUAAACAGAACUAUUGAUGCGGGAGUACUUCAAAUUAUUUAAGGUGUGGUGAGGGGAAGGGGCAGUUUCAAAGAACACUCGUGUCUAGCGGCUGUCUAUUUCAAGCCUUCUCAGUAGUAAAGACUGAAAAGAUGAAAAUAUCGUGCAACUUUUUUCAAUUACCCUCUCCUUUCAAUCUUCAAUAUUUCACUUUAUGGUGUGGACUUUUUGAACUCGACCAACUAGAAGUGCUACUCAUUAAUUUUAUCUGAAAGCUUAUUCUCAAGGUCUAUUUACAAGUCAUUAUUGCAUGAAGAAUAUUCCCUCAGACACCCUUAAAAUUUCAUCGCAUCACACUCGUAUAUUUUAAUUACCUGAUAGCAUGCACCGCAGCCAGUCCCAUCCCUGUAUAGCCUAGAAACUGCGCCAACGUUGCCGCCGUUGACAUUUCUUCCAUAUUCGCCAAAGCCACAUGCUCCAGCUGAUUCAACAUAUGAUCAUUACCCCAUCUAUGAUAUAUACAAAGUAUGCAUGGAAGAGAUCAAUUAAGAUACGUACUUGGAGUCCCUAAGCCAUCAGAGGUGCCAUAAUAUGUUGCCCGUGAGUAUGUGAAGGUGUCUUCACACUUGCAUAGCACAGGCAAGAGCACAAUGACACAUAGAAAGCAGCAAUAGUGGCUAAGUGGAAAACCCAUGUUUAUACGGAAUUACUCAAGCAAAAUAUUGG
This 26531-nucleotide long non-coding RNA is filed under the name Vitis vinifera (wine grape). RNAcentral's name for it is "long non-coding RNA (VVIN_LNC007527)". Lineage: Eukaryota; Viridiplantae; Streptophyta; Magnoliopsida; Vitales; Vitaceae. The record is from RNAcentral.